Molecule: ribosomal RNA, 481 nt
Filed under: uncultured bacterium
Lineage: Bacteria
Description: bacterial SSU rRNA
Rfam family: Bacterial small subunit ribosomal RNA
Source: RNAcentral
AGUGAACGCUGGCGGCAGGCCUAACACAUGCAAGUCGAGCGGCAGCGCGGGGGCAACCCUGGCGGCGAGCGGCGGACGGGUGAGGAAUGCAUCGGAAUCUACCUCGUUGUGGGGGAUAACCUCGGGAAACCGGGACUAAUACCGCAUACGACCUACGGGUGAAAGUGGGGGACCUUCGGGCCUCACGCGAUGAGAUGAGCCGAUGCCGGAUUAGCUAGUUGGCGGGGUAAAGGCCCACCAAGGCGACGAUCCGUAGCUGGUCUGAGAGGAUGAUCAGCCACACUGGAACUGAGACACGGUCCAGACUCCUACGGGAGGCAGCAGUGGGGAAUAUUGGGCAAUGGGCGAAAGCCUGACCCAGCCAUGCCGCGUGAAGGAAGACGGCCUUAUGGGUUGUAAACUUCUUUACUACGCGAAUAGAGGUUAGUACGAGAUAACUAAUAGGAAGGUAGUGUAGUAAAAAGCACCGGCUAACUCCGUG